RNAcentral lists this unclassified non-coding RNA (294 nucleotides) under Hevea brasiliensis (rubber tree). Lineage: Eukaryota; Viridiplantae; Streptophyta; Magnoliopsida; Malpighiales; Euphorbiaceae. The record is from RNAcentral.
GUGAGAUUGACCAAAUGGUACUCUCCUUAUUCACAGAAAGAAAGAUCCAAGGUGAUUCGAGAGCUUAGCGGAGAAAUUCUCACACGUGGCCCAAAGCUCUGCAAUUUCGUUGAAUGGAGAGGCUUCAAAGUUGUAUACAGAAGGUAUGCCAGCCUUUACUUCUGCAUGUGUAUCGACGCAAGUGACAAUGAACUGGAGGUCCUUGAGAUUAUACAUCAUCUAGUUGAGAUAUUAGACCGUUACUUUGGCAGCGUCUGUGAGCUCGAUCUGAUUUUCAAUUUUCACAAGGCAUAC